UACAGAGGGGGCAAGCGUUAUUCGGAAUUAUUGGGCGUAAAGGGCGCGUAGGCGGCUUUGCAAGUGGCGGGUGAAAUCCCUCGGCUUAACCGAGGAACUGCCUGCCAGACUGCAAGGCUCGAGACCGGGAGAGGUGAGUGGAAUUCCCAGUGUAGCGGUGAAAUGCGUAGAUAUUGGGAGGAACACCAGUGGCGAAGGCGGCUCACUGGACCGGAACUGACGCUGAGGCGCGAAAGCGUGGGGAGCAAACAGG
This 253-nucleotide ribosomal RNA is filed under the name uncultured bacterium. RNAcentral's name for it is "partial 16S ribosomal RNA". It matches the Rfam family "Bacterial small subunit ribosomal RNA", at positions 524 to 776 of the family's 1533-position model. The record is from RNAcentral.